GGUUUAGCUAUUAAAAUCUGCCCUUUGAAGAGCAUGCACAUUUUAGCAUAUAAUGUUUAGUAUGAUUUCAUGUUUUUGGAGAAUUUUUGAGGAUAAUCUCAAGGCAUUUCAUUUCUUUCCAUAGGGAUAAUCCCUUUUUUUCAGAGUACAUCUCAUUUCCAAGUGGCUGUUGCGCUGCUGUUUGCCCCCACUCCUUCAGUGCGACAGACAGCCUCAGAGCUGGUGGGGAGACAGCAUGCCACUGGAAAAAUUCGUAGACAUGGAAUUCCUGGAUCAAAUGGUAUGAAACAAUUUAAGGUUUCUUCCCCCCAACACCUAUCACCUAAUUUAUUUAUUAUAUGUGGUAUAAACAUUAUUUUCCAGCCAUUGUUUUCCUAUUAAUUUUUACCAUUUAUGGUGGUGAUUUUUUGAUAUUUUACAGUUUUACAUGUUAGAUUUCCAUAUCUGACCAUUUUAAGUGUUGUGAUUUUUUUCUUUCCUUUGAUUAGUGUAUUCACCUGUAUUUUUUUCUAGUUAUUUAAUUGCUUCAUUUUUUACAAUUAACUCCUUAAUCCACCUAGAAUUCAUUUUGAUAUAUGGUAUACAGUAGGAUUUAAUUUUUUUUCCCCCUAAUAGGUCACCGAUUGUUUCAGCAUCACUUAUUGAAUAAUCCAACGCAACAACUGUUCUUCCAUUAGAUAGGGUGUAGCUUUCCACAGGUCGGCCAUUUUCUCUUUACCCAAGAUGGUUACAUUUUGCAAUGGUACUCCUACCUUCCUGCAGCUUCUGACAGCAUACUAGAGCACCAUGUUUGUGCUUGUGCGUUUCAAAAAUCCUAGGCACAUGCAGAUUAGGGCAGUAUUUUAAACAGGAUUUUUUUUUUCAUUUUAAAUAUGUUAAGUUUGUCACAUUCUUGUUGCAAAUUAAAAUUAAGGAAUCCAAAUAUAUGAAACCACGGUUUCAGGUGUGCUAUUCCUCUUAGGCGCACCUGAUAUCCCAAUUGUGUGUUAAAAAAAAAAAUACCCCCGGGGUUAAAGUUCCUCCUUCAACCUCUUUUUUUUUUUUUUUUUUACUCUUCAGAUACUCAAAGAGUUAAAGUUGGCUCGACUCAGUUCUUGGAAUUUUCUAGAAUGAUAUAAGAGGGAAAUACAAGAAAUGUAUGAGGAGUAGAAGUAAAUAAUGUUUGCCAGCCUGUUGCUGGCCGUAGUCUCAUGUAGGGAUUUAAAGGAGCUAGGGUGAGUCCUAACCCAUGCCACCACUGCCACUACCUCUUCUAGAUAGGGACACACCCCAGUGAGCCACCUCUUUUCACUGCAGGUGUAAGGCUCAAGACAUAAGGCAAGGAGUUUUUUAGUAGGAGAUGGGUUAAAUAUUGCCCAGAGAAAUCUGACAAUUAAAAUCACUUGCUACCUAUUACCAACCCUCUCCCGGGCCCCCAACGAAGCUUUCUCUCUCUAUUGACUUCUGCACCGGGCCUCUUAGCUUUACUGAUUCUGGGGGGGAAAAAAAAGGGCGGGGGGAGGAUGGCGCGUGAGUGGGAGGCUGCCUUGCCUGCGGUUAUUGCAAGGGGCUCCUUUGGCUCACAGCCUCAGUCCCAGUAGUUUCCUGACUUGCCGCAUUAGACUGUGUUUUGUUUAUGAGGAGGCUGGUUUCCCUGGCAAUGGCAGCUCGCCAGUGCAUGCGCAUUUGCUCCACUGCAGUAGCAGAAUGCGGCUGUGGGGCCAGGGGAGGGGUCCUGAGGGCCGCAGUGGCUGGAGUUAUUUGGCAGACAUGACGUCAGUUUUUCUGAGCUAAACUGCCAUCGUUACUGUAUAUGGAGCAUUUUUUUUUUUUUAAAUAAAGCUUGGAAGGCUUUUAGCCACUCCUUUUCUUUCCUCCCAAAUUAACUGCUCUCUAUAUGCUCACCAGUGACCACGAAGGCUUUCUAAGGUUUGAGGCCACCGAUGCCCUCAGGGCCCCGAGGGGAAUCAUAAUAGUAUGAGAACAGGAAACAGACUGCCUGGUUUCAGACCUCGGCUGCUUGCUAGUUGCAUGACUGUGGGACGGGUUACUUAAAUCUCUUCGUUUCCUCAGAUGUAAAAUGGGGAUGCUAACAGCAUGUUUAGAACAGUGUCUGGCACAUAGUAACCAUUAUGUAAGUGUUGUCUAUUAUUAUUUGUAGAUACUAAGGGGGACUUGCCUGGAAGCAGACUUGUGUCCGCAGUAUACAAACUCACCCUUUAAUGCACACACUGACCAGAUAACACAAACACAUUUACCCCCACAGCACCUAGACUCUUCUCACAGUACACACACUUGCCUUCCAGUACACAGACAUAUCCAAAGGCACACCGACAAGCACCACAGCAAAAAGAUGUUCCCCAGAACACAUGGACACCCCAAUCCCCGUAUCAUUAGACUCUCCCAGAGGCACGUAUGUACUGCUUAAUGCAGAGACUCACCUGAGGCACACUGAUGCACCCCGCAUGACACAGACUUGCCCCCCCAUAAGGACUCUACUAUGACACACAGACAAUCCCAACAUCACACACUGUUCCCACAUCACACGAACCCAUUUUAGGAAACACACAGCAUACAGACUUACCCCAUAGAACACGGCUUCCCCGACAAGCACACAUACUCUCAAGGCCAGUAGACUCACCCCACAGCACACAGACUUUCUCUAGAGUGUACAGCUUCUUCCCACAGCAAACAGACUCUCCCCAGGGCACACAGACACCCCUGACAUCACAUACUCUCACCACAGACCAUAGACUCGUCCUAGAGCACAGGGACUCUUGCCAAUGAAACAGACUUUCCCGAGAAUAGACUCAUGAGACAGCUUGAAGACCCGCAUCAUGACACAAAGACUCUCCCACAACAGACAGACUCACCCCAUUGUGUACAGACAAGCACCAUAGGCCACAGACCAUCACCUCAGGACACAGACUUGCCCAGCACCACACAGACACUCUGCAGAGCACGUAGAGUCACCCCGCAAAGCACAGACUAAACCCAUACUACAGAGACUCUCCCUAUAGCUUUCAGACAAGUUUACCCCACCACAGAGACAUGCAACGGUACAUCUUACAACAUAUAUCACUCCUUGAUGCACACAAUUGUGCCACAGCACACAAACUUGUCCUACAGUGCACAAAUUCAUGUCACAAAAGACACACUCACCACACAAUACAAAUACUUGCUCCAGCCGGACGCGGUGGCUCACGCCUGUUAUCCCAGCACUUUGGGAGGCCUAGGCAGGUGGAUCACCUGACGUUGGGAGUUCGAGACCAGUCUCACCAACAUGGAGAAACCCCGUCUCCACUAAAAAUACAAAAUUAGCCGGGCAUGGUGGUGCAUGCCUGUAAUCUCAGCUGCUCCGGAGGCUGAGGCAGGAGAAUCGCUUGAACCCAAGAGGCGGAGGUUGCAGUGAGCCAAGAUUGUGCCACUGCACUCCAGCCUGGGCAACAAGGGCAAAACUUUGCCUCAAAAAAAAUAAAAAAAUAAAAAAAAAAACAACCCAGCAACAAAAACAAACAAAAAAAAACAAUUACUUGCUCCAGAGUUCACUCAUUUGCCCUAAAAUAUCUAGACCUUACCCCAGAGUUACCACACAAUGCAUGCUGUGUCCCUGCAUCACCAAAAUACAACUCAAACUCCUCAGACACACUCUGAUAAAUAGACAUACCUGACAAUGUACAGCUUGGCAUCAUAGCAGGAAAAACUGGCUCUACAACAGAUUUAUUCUACAACAGACACACUCAGGCUGUAGAGACACCUAAUCUUUCUUUAAGGUAUUCAGACCCACCCUUUUGGGCACAGUCACAGAUGUGAUCCAGGAUACCCUCACCCAUCCCACAAUACUGAUGCAACCCACAGCGUACAAACACAUCCCACAGCAUAACACUCUAAGCCCACAGUGCUCAGAAAUGUCAGGCACACAUUUGCCAUACAGAUUUACUUCACACACAAAAAACACAGCCAGGUGGGUGGCUCAUGCCUGUAAUCCCAGCACUUUGGGAGUCCGAGGCGGGCGGAUCACAAGGUCAGGGGUUCAGGACCAGCCUGUCCAACAUGGUGAAACCCCGUCUCUACUAAAAAUACAAAAAAAUUAGCCGGGCAUGGUGGCACAUGCUUGUAGUCCCAGCUACUCGGGAGGCUGAGGCAGGAGAAUCACUUGAACCCAGGAGGUGGAGGUUGCAGUGAGCCGAGAUCAUGCCAUUGCACUCCACCUUGGGCAACAGAGUGAGACUUCGUCUAAAAAAAAAAGAAAGAAAGAAAGAAACAAACAAGAAAACAACAACAAAAAACACUUCUUAUAGUGCCUAUACAAUGCAAACAUGUAUCCCAAAAUAUAUGAAACUAUUUGCUAUGUCACUCUUAGGUUUACCCCAAAGCACAUAGACCGUUUUCACUGCUCAAGCUGCUGCCUACAAAACAGGAGAUGCCAAGCCAUGCACAGAAAUUCACCAAAAUGCACAGAUUCACCUAUCAAUAUACAUACUUGCCUCACAACUCACACAAACACCACCGAGCACUGAGACUCACCCUAAAUGUACAGACAAGCCCUUCAGGGCACAGACUUACUCUGUAACAUACUAAAUCACAUCCCCCAUACUUAGAUGUGCCUUAUGAUUCACAGUGAUGCGUGUAAACACAUAGAUUGCUUCCACAAUGCACAGAAUUGCAUCAUAACACAGACUUACUCUACAGUGCAAAACUGACAGUGCACAUAAACAUUUCCCAGUCGGCUAGACACACAACACACAUAUUACUCCUACAAUGUAAAGAUUUCCAUCACGGUGGACAGACGUGCUUUUCCAUGCUGUUGAGCUACAACUCUGGCCUACAACAACAGAAAUACAGCUUGUGUAAUAGUUACCAGCAAGGCCUCUAGACCCAUACUAACUGGGUUUGAAUCAAGGUCCCGUCCCUUGCUGAUUGUAUCACCUUGGGAGGAGAUGGAAGAUUGAGAGCAGAGUGCAAGAAUGGGAAGAGGGCUUCGUGCCCUGUGCACGUUUGCCACCUAGUGACCAAACUGAAUGGUGUGCUUCUCACCUCAGCGUGAUAGCCUGACCUUGACUCCUGAGUUCCACGAUCGCUUCACAACUGCAAGUCACCAUCAUACAAAAUUUGAGUUUCCCUAAGUCCGCGCCUUUGAGAGCUUUGGAACGAUAUGCAAGUUCAAGUCACCAUCCUGUUUCUUGCUACCUCCUGUGAGAAGACCAACAUUUGGGUUACACUUGUUUCUACUCUUGUUCUUCUGCUUGUUAUUGUUGCCUCUGCAGCCAUUGAUCACACACGUGUUGUCAUACAAAAACUGGUUAGCCUUUUUAUUUGUCUUGUGAAUUUUAUCAUUUGGUUCUUAAGUAUUACAAAUUAAUAUUGUGUACUCUCAUUGAUAUACAACUUGCAGUCAUUGUAAAUAUGCGUGAGUUAGGGGUGAGAAUGGCAUGCAAGCAAAAGAACAAGGAGAGGGAUGAUAGAGAUGCAAGAAGAGUAAAGAGGGCAAGAAAGUUUAUGUUAAUAGCGAACACAAUGAAAGUUCUUUAAAUGCUUGAUAAUGGUGAAAGCAACACUUCCUAGGGCAUAUUUUUGGUGUUAAUGAACCUACACAUCAUACAAUAAAGAAAAUUGAGAAAGCAGUUGGGGCCAGUGAAUCGGGGGCACACAAGAAUCACUGAGAAAAUCAUACACAACUCAAAAUGCCACAAUAGGGAAAAUAUAAAGAGAUUUGCACUUGUGGCUUCUAAAACAGAGAAGGUUGAAUAGGUCUCUUUCUGUGUGUAAAAUCUGCCAGUGAGCAUCACAAAAAUGCAAAUUUAAAUUUCAAUCUGGAUGGAAAGUUAUAAAAUUCAUUGCAAGUAAUGGGUGGUUGGGUAGGUUUAAGAAAUGCCAGGUGGGUGGAUCACUUGAGGUCUGGAGUUUGCAACUAGCCUGGCCAACAUGGUGAAACCUUGUCUCUACUAAAAAUACAAAAAUUAGCCAGGAUUGGUGGCGGGUACCUGUAAUCUCAGCUACUCAGGAGGCUGAGGCAGGAGAAUCGCUUGAACCUAGGAGGCAGAGGUUGCAGUGAGCUGAGAUCGUGCCAUCGCACUCCAGCCUGGGUGACGAGAGCAAAGCUCUGUCUCAAAAAAAGAAAAGAAGAGAAGAGAAAAGAGAAGAGAAGAAAGAAGAGAAGAGAAGAGAAGAGAAGCUGUGGCCUGUAAUGAAAAGAAGUGGAGAAGUGACUGUCAGAGGAAGCAGAUUAAGGAGCUGCCGGAGAGUAUCCUGAAUACCUGAAGAAGACGAUUGAGGACAAUGGCAAUUUGCCUGAGCAGGUUGUCAGUGCUGCUGAAACUCUGGAAGCAAAUGCCUACUUGCACAUCUAUUGCAAAGCAUGAGAAAAGGACCAGAGGCUUCAAGCCUGGAAAAGACAAACUCAAAGUUCUGCUUUGUUCCAGUGUGUUCUGAUUAAACCCAUGUUGCUUUACAGAUUCCAAAAUUGUUACCUUCUUUAAAGAGAAAGCCAGAAACACUUUUCUGUGUACAUGAAGGGAAACCAUGAAAUAUGGAUCACUGAGAAACUCUUUUUGAACUGGUCUUUGAAGUGUUUUGUUCUGAGGUUAAAUAACAUUUAAAUGAAAAAAAAAUCUUGACUUCACAGUGUUGUGAUUCUGGACACUGCUCCUACAGACAAAAAUGCAGUCAUAAAUGCUGCUCCUUGUGUUCAAGUCAUCUCCAUUACCCCCAGUACGACUCCACUCCUUCAACUCUUGCAUCUGAGAGUGCUAGCGAUGUACUGUGCUCUGCAUGUAUUUUGACUACCUGAAGAUCUUAUCAGAGACACCAGAACUUUACCAUGAAAGUGGCUUGGCAACAUUUCUCCGUUUGUAAUGCUUUAACAGGUGUAGAAGAAUCAGUGAGACAAAUAAAACAAUCAAUACUUAAUGAAGUCUGGCAGAAAUUUUGGAAUGAGGUUGUGACUGAUUUGGAAGGUUUCCUUCCAGUGGUAGAAGAAAUUGAAAAUAUUGUAACAUCUGCAAACCAUUUGAAUAGUGAAGGCCUUGAAGACAUUGAGUUAAGUGACAUUACUGAAUUGUUAGACUCUCACCUUCAAAAGAUAGUUGAGAAAUAUUUUGGAGAUGUGAUCACAUCAAAAGGCAAUAGAAGAAGCCAGCAUAGGUUAACAUCCAGAACUCUAAGAAUGUUCAAGUAUCUACUCCACAAAUGAAAUUGUCACAAUGAUUCAAAAGAAAGAGAUCCUUUGGUGGGCUACAUAUUGACUUUCAGGGGAGAAGAGGUUGACAUUAGGCCAUGUCAUUCAAACCCGUUCUGCAAACAGGAAAACAGGAAGUAGAAACGCCGCACACAGAUAGUUAAACCUUGGGAUUCAGACUCUGAUGGCUCUGAUGAUAUGGUGAUUUGUGUGCUGGGGAUGAAAGAGGAGCAGAAGACUGAGCUUACAUCUCUUCAGACGAAAUGCAAUUUUCUCUAUUCUUUCCCUGUUACUAUUGUUACGACCAAGCAUUUUCAUUGAUCCAUUAUCAUCUUCAUCUUGAGAUCACAAAGGAAGUUAAUUGCCUGAUAUCCACUCUUGUUAAUAUAAAAUAUCAAUGAUAUUUAUUUUAUUGUUUUAGUUUGGUGAACAAACUGAUUGUCUAGGCUUUCAUAAUACUCAUGUCCUUGCCUCAUUUUUUCCUAAAAAGUCUUAAAUUCCUCCAACAUGGGUACUCUGAGAGUUUCGGGAACUCAACUAUAGCAUUUAAGGAGUGGGCUGCUACUGUACUUGGCUGGAUAAUUUGAUUUUGUACUCCUGAAAUUUGUUUUAAUUCUGAUUAAGCCUAACUUGCGAUCUCACCAGAAAGGAUUAGUUUGGUAUAAGUUAAAUUAAUUUCUUUUCCAGCAAUUGUAUAUGUUAGCUAUUGGCUGAUCCUGAAAAGCAGUAUAUUUAUGUUAAAUUUCCAGAUUUCCUUUGGUAGCUAAUCAAGGAGGAACAGCUGCUAGAGUUCAUUUUCAUAGAUUCUUUCUGUUCUCAUAUCUGGCCUCCUCAGUGAUUUGAAGAAUUGAAUAUCCUCCAAAAAAUGGAUAUUAUUACCUCCUGUUCUCUGAUGGUGAUGGAGACUUCAUUCUCAGAUUGUUUUUAAAUUCCUUUCAUAAUUCCAUAUAUUUACUUCAUUUGAUUCAAUUGUGUUACAAAAGUUAUUGUCAUGGUUGUUUUAAUUUUGGAUGUUUGGAAUUUUCCAGGCAGAUUUAACAGAGGAAAAAAAACCACAAAGCCAGAGAUACGACGCUGUUAUCUUGUUCUAAGAAUUUUGGGCAAAGGCAUAGGCUGAACCUGCCUGUUCUUUUGGCUGCUUUACACAUUCCCAACUGAUGUCCAUUUUGAACUCAGUUGGACAGUUAUUCUGGGGAAUAGAGAGGAAGUCCAAAUAACAUCGCUGUUGUUUCUGUCUUAAUUGCUGUUUGUGCCGGAUUCACAGCACUGGCCUCAUCAUUAUAUCUGAUAAUGAUGCACAGAAAACCUGAAUAGAGAAAAGAAGAAAGAUAAUUCAUUGGCAUGUGCUUGCCAAAAAGAGACUUUAUAUAACUUGAGAAAGCAUAAAGACAACCUGGAAUGAGGAAAUGUAUGUACAGUAAUGAAAAAAAAAUGCUUUAAACAGCUGUGUCAAAAACUGACAUCAGAGAGUAAAUUGAAUUUGGUUUUGUAGGAAGCAGGAAGCAAGCCCACUCAAACGUUGAAAUUUGGCAUGAGGGAGUCCAGUAACUUUCUCCUCAAUCUGUGAACUAUAUGUG
RNAcentral lists this long non-coding RNA (8733 nucleotides) under Homo sapiens (human). RNAcentral's name for it is "long intergenic non-protein coding RNA 632". Lineage: Eukaryota; Metazoa; Chordata; Mammalia; Primates; Hominidae. The record is from RNAcentral.